RNAcentral lists this ribosomal RNA (497 nucleotides) under uncultured bacterium. RNAcentral describes it as "partial 16S ribosomal RNA". It matches the Rfam family "Bacterial small subunit ribosomal RNA", at positions 28 to 507 of the family's 1533-position model. The record is from RNAcentral.
GACGAACGCUGGCGGCGUGCCUAAUACAUGCAAGUUGAGCGCUGAAGGUUGGUACUUGUACCAACUGGAUGAGCAGCGAACGGGUGAGUAACGCGUGGGGAAUCUGCCUUUGAGCGGGGGACAACAUUUGGAAACGAAUGCUAAUACCGCAUAAAAACUUUAAACACAAGUUUUAAGUUUGAAAGAUGCAAUUGCAUCACUCAAAGAUGAUCCCGCGUUGUAUUAGCUAGUUGGUGAGGUAAAGGCUCACCAAGGCGAUGAUACAUAGCCGACCUGAGAGGGUGAUCGGCCACAGUGGGACUGAGACACGGCCCAAACUCCUACGGGAGGCAGCAGUAGGGAAUCUUCGGCAAUGGACGAAAGUCUGACCGAGCAACGCCGCGUGAGUGAAGAAGGUUUUCGGAUCGUAAAACUCUGUUGGUAGAGAAGAACGUUGGUGAGAGUGGAAAGCUCAUCAGGUGACGGUAACUACCCAGAAAGGGACGGCUAACUACGUG